Molecule: ribosomal RNA, 468 nt
Filed under: uncultured bacterium
Lineage: Bacteria
Description: partial 16S ribosomal RNA
Rfam family: Bacterial small subunit ribosomal RNA
Source: RNAcentral
GACGAACGCCGGCGGCGUGCUUAACACAUGCAAGUCGAACGGUGAUGCUCCAGCUUGCUGGAGUGGAUCAGUGGCGAAAGGGUGAGUAACACGUGAGCAACCUGCCCCAGACUCUGGAAUAAGCGCUGGAAACGGCGUCUAAUACUGGAUACGAAAAUGGCCCGCAUGGGCAUGGUUUGGAAAGUUUUUCGGUUUGGGAUGGGCUCGCGGCCUAUCAGCUUGUUGGUGAGGUAAUGGCUCACCAAGGCGACGACGGGUAGCCGGCCUGAGAGGGCGACCGGCCACACUGGGACUGAGACACGGCCCAGACUCCUACGGGAGGCAGCAGUGGGGAAUAUUGCACAAUGGGCGAAAGCCUGAUGCAGCGACGCCGCGUGAGGGAUGACGGCCUUCGGGUUGUAAACCUCUUUCAGCAGGGAAGAAGCGAAAGUGACGGUACCUGCAGAAGAAGCACCGGCUAACUACGUG